RNAcentral lists this long non-coding RNA (1367 nucleotides) under Cricetulus griseus (Chinese hamster). Its description in RNAcentral is "lncRNA (ENSCGRG00015033011.1)". Lineage: Eukaryota; Metazoa; Chordata; Mammalia; Rodentia; Cricetidae. The record is from RNAcentral.
GUGGUGUUCCGGGAAGCACUCUCUCUGUGUCUGUUUCACUCCCCAUCCUGUGUCUGUCCAUUUGUCUUCCUCUGAGCUGAGGGUGGGAGGACCCUUACCUAGUCCAUCUGUACCAAGAAGUCAAGAGGUGGAUUCUCAAGGGAAAUCAGGACACUGUGACCCAAAGCAGAUGAUCUCGGGAUGGGCUGAGAAAACUAGCAGGUUUCUGGCAUCGACUUGGCUGCAGGGAAGCCAGACAGGUGUUUAUGAAAAAAAAUGCACAAUAUCCCGACUGACCGGAAUAAUUGAUGAAGAAGGGUGCUGGAUCCGUGGGUCAGAGAACACACAGGACCAGCUUGCCACCCCAAGGCCGAAGUCUGGUGUCUCGGAUUUGGCUCUUCGUUGCCCACUCCUGCUGCAUCUUGUCCAGCCGAGGGACAAAACACCCUGCCACUUCUCUGAAGAACAGGAAGAAAAGAAGUCAUGGAGGCAGAUUCCAGCACAGCCAGAGACUGAGAUGUUGAGCUCAGAGGGAGCAGGGAUCACCAAGGCACAUGCUGCCUGAAGCCCCAGGAAAGCUGGACAAGAGGCACAUUGGCCCAAGUGGUACAAGUACUAACAGUGACAUGCCAUGGACAUAGUACAGGCUGCCCAUCCAAGACCCACCAAAUGGAGGAUAGCACAGCAGAGUCUUUCUCACUUUGUAAAACCUGGCACAAGGACAGAGAAGCCGGAGCAGCAGCGUGUAUCCCAGAACUGCUAGAAAAAGCCAGAGAGGAUGACAUAUUGACUUGUGAUCAAUUGCACCAAUAGGUACUGUGAGAAGAGGCCUCACCUCCUUCAAUCCCAUUGCAUCUGGAUGCCAUUCUUCACUGUAAGCCUGAAGUCCUGCCUCAGCUGCCAACAUCCUGCUUAACAUUGCUUAUGAGGAAGUGCCCAUUUUCUCCUCCAUAUUCUGGAUUCACUCGUUAUGCAUAGCACUGGGUCAAUUUAGAUAGAAGCACCCUGAGACAUUCCUACUUCUCAGAAGCUGCCAAAUGUAUGUCACACCUGUGUCGCGUAUAACCUGGGGUCCACUUCUGACAGAUGCUGCCUCCUUGAUCAGUGAUUCUUUCCCUCAGCAAUGUGGUACCAUUCUCCCCUGCCUCAUGCAUCCCAGUUGUGACUUUGUCAGCUCCUGGUGUUUGGAUUGCAUGAAGAUGGAGAAGGAAUGGUUGGAGGAAAAACCUUAGUCUGCUUGGAGGCUGGAGCCUGGCUCCAACCUAGGCAGAAGGUCCCCAACCCCCAGCUCAUGUUCUGCCUUGUCCUCUUCCCACGACUUAGUCUUACCUUUUAUGUCUGUCCUAUCCAGGACAGUUGUACUUUAGUUUUUUCAAUUAAACAAAAUU